Molecule: long non-coding RNA, 525 nt
Organism: Homo sapiens (human)
Lineage: Eukaryota; Metazoa; Chordata; Mammalia; Primates; Hominidae
Product: long intergenic non-protein coding RNA 2396
Source: Ensembl
AUGAUGAGGAUGGUGGCAUUUGACAUUCGGUCAAGGGAUGGAGCAGGAAGGCUUGAGAUACACAACCCAUAUCUUUAAGGCACUUUCCAUCUGGUGGAGAAACGGAAAUGUAUGCACAUAGCGGCACAUGCGAUGGCAACAGAACCCAGGGCCUGUGCCAGGCCUACCAAGGAGUGAGCUGAUGCGGCUGAGAGUUUUGGAAUGUGAGGCUGGGAUGACAAGCCUGGGGCCUGGCUCUUCUGUGCUCAGUGAGGACUGCUCCAGCCUCAGCCCCAACUCCCAGCAAAGCCCAGUUUACAGAGGAUGAAACUGAGGCACAGAGAAGUCAAGCGUCUUGUGCAGGGCCAGGAUUGGGACCCACGCAGCCUGCUCCAGAGCCGGGCUCUGACCCUCCACAAGAGCCAUCACUAAAGUUCCACUUACCGCUGCACCUUCAAUCUCUUCCUCUCUCCAUCCCUCCCACAUGUUCACAGACAAAAUCUUCUUCCUUAUUUAAUAAAACAAUAUAAUGACCAGCCUGGCAAA